AUGCUCCUCCGCUCUCCUCUCCCACACCACUCUGCUCUCAGUUCUCCCACCGUUCCCGAGCCUCCACAGCGCAGCCGGGCGCCCAUGGAAGAGCCAUUCAUUGUUACUGGCAAGAUAAUUGGUACGAUGAUAAGAAACGGGGAAUUGGUUCCAGAAGCAGGGAUGGAGUGCCCAAACUGCAAACAUCGCAUUGAUAAUAGUGAUGUUUCAUCACAGUGGUCAGGACUCCCUAUUGGUGUUAAAUUUGAUUCAACGGAUCUUGAACUGCUUGGACAUUUAGAAGGCAAGAUUGGCAGGGCAGUGUCCCAUGUACUAAUAGAUGAUUUUAUUCCAACCAUAGAGAUGGCGGAAGGAAUCUGCUAUACACAUCCGGAAAAUCUCCCUGGUGUCAAAUUAGACGGGAUCGCCAGUCAUUUCUUCCACAAAAUAUGCAAUGCCUAUGAUGUUGGCACGCGCAAGCGUCGCAAGAUUAGGAGCAACGACUACAAAGUUUGUGAUAAGAAUCUCAGAUGGCACAAGACUGGAAAAUCCAGACAUAUCUUAGAUAAUAAUGGUGACAUAAAAGGGUGGAAGAAAAUAAUGGUUCUUAGGAAAGGAGGUGCCAAGGCAGAAAAGACUAAUUGGACGAUGCAUCAGUAUCACCUUGGGGUAGAUGAAAAUGAAAUGUACGUAUGUUGUACCAGCGGCGGAGCUUCAUGGGGGCCAACCUGGGCGGUGGCCCCCCCAGCCCAAGAAAAAUUCACCUAA
RNAcentral lists this ribosomal RNA (747 nucleotides) under Triticum aestivum (bread wheat). Its description in RNAcentral is "partial small subunit ribosomal RNA". The record is from RNAcentral. Lineage: Eukaryota; Viridiplantae; Streptophyta; Magnoliopsida; Poales; Poaceae.